RNAcentral lists this ribosomal RNA (468 nucleotides) under uncultured bacterium. RNAcentral describes it as "partial 16S ribosomal RNA". It matches the Rfam family "Bacterial small subunit ribosomal RNA", at positions 28 to 507 of the family's 1533-position model. The record is from RNAcentral.
GACGAACGCUGGCGGCGUGCUUAAUACAUGCAAGUCGAACGAAAAGACCCUGCUUUUGCGGGUUGCUCGAGUGGCGAACGCGUGAGUAACACGUGUGUAACCUGCACCUGUCAUUGUGAUAACUUCAGGAAACUGGGGCUAAUACCGGGUAUGAGCUCCUGCUGCACGUUGUGGGUUGGAAAGAUUGGGCCGUUGGGGCUGGACUGGCGGGUUAUCAGCUAGUUUGUGGGGUAGUGGCUGACCAAGGCUUUGACGGGUAGCCCGCCUGAGAGGGUGACCGGCCACCAUGCGCCUGCGGGACGGAGCAGACGCGUACGGGAGGCAGCAGGCGGAAAUAUUGCAGAGUAGGCGGAAGCCAGAGGCAGCGACGUCGCGUGCGUGAUACUGGCUUACGGGUGGUAAACAGCUGUGGAAUGAGACGUAGCGGGCUUGACGGUAAUGGGUAAGAAAGCAACGGCUAACUACGUG